UUUGAUGCAGGGCUUUCACAACGAAUCAUUAGUAUGUAUCAUCACCAGCAUCAUUUACAUAUUUAUCAUCGUAGAAUACGUGUCGGGUCAUGCCAUCACAGAUUUCCAUUCCGUGGUCCUAUGUCCAUGUAUAUAUUAAAUAAUGUAACACGCACGCCACUAUCAUUUGUCCUCUUUCCUGUGUAUGGCCAAACUUUCUCCAAAAUGACAUUUCGGAAUUUCCUGCGGAAAAACAAAACCCUGCUGUUGGCAUUCCUACCACCGAUUGUGCUUCUACCUUUACCCUUAUCUGGACAAUCACAGGAAUCAAAAUGUGCUUACGGUCUACUUCUUAUGGCGUUCUACUGGACCACAGAGACUUUUCCGGUCGCCAUUACCGCCACACUUCCGGUUAUAUUAUUUCCAAUGAUGGGAAUCAGUAAAGUUGGCGACCUGGCCUCCAAGUAUUUUCAUCAUAUUACAUUUGUCUUGAUUGGUGGUUUGGCUGUUGCUAUAGCCAUCGAAAAAUGGAACGUCCAUAAACGUAUAGCAUUACGGCUAUUACUGACCAUGGGUACCACUCCGAAAUGGCUCAUGCUUGGCUUCAUGUUGACCACUUCGUUCCUGUCCAUGUGGAUCAGUAAUACGGCCACAACGUCCAUGAUGAUCCCAAUAGCCCAUGCCGUUCUGUCCGAGCUGAUGGGCAUGCGAGUGUCCCGUAAUCAACUCAAACCUGAUCAGGAUAAACGAAACGGUGAGGAAAAUAUACAUACCAUUCCAAAAAUGUAUGUAAAAGGAGACACGAAGGUGGGUUUGCCUGAUGUAGAACCAUCUGAGAGUGUCGGGAUAACUAUACAAAAAGCGGACCAUGACGAAAAGCAGAAGUUGAUCAUUCAGCAAGCACAACAAAGUGUAGAACAACCCGAACCUGUCGAGGGAGACAAACUGAUCCAAGUGAAGAUGGAAGAAGAGGGGGAUUUUGACUUUGAGGCCCUCGAUCCGGAGUCAAAGAAUCUCUGUAAGGCUAUGCUACUGUCUAUCUGUUACGCGGCUAACUGUGGGGGUGUAGCUACACUAACCGGAGCCGGACCUAACCUCGUCAUGAAAGGACAGGCGGACCUGAUGUCGGAUGGUGAAUCGGGGAUAACGUUUGCGACUUGGUUUGUCUUCGCCUUCCCCGUGGCUGUCAUCAACGCGCUGCUGGCCUGGCUAUGUCUGCAGGUCGUCUAUUUCGGAUUACGAAACCUGUUUAAAUCUGGUGACAAAUCGGAAGGUGAGGCAGUGAAAAAGAUAAUACGUUCUCAUUACGAUUCCUUGGGAAAUAUGAGUUUUGCUGAAAAGGCUGUCAUGGUCCACUUUGUGAUCUUAGUACUUUGCUGGUUUACGCUGGAGCCAGAGUUCGUACCUGGAUGGGGGUCGCUCUUCAAACAUGGAUACAUCAGUGAUGCUGUUCCUGCUAUGAUAAUUGGCUGUCUUCUAUUCGUGUUCCCAAGUUCCCGAGACCAAAAUAACGCAGCUAAUAAAAGAAGUGCGGCGCUUCUUGACUGGAAAACCUUUAACCGGAAGUUGCCGUGGGGCGUUGCCCUACUUCUUGGCGGAGGAUUUGCUCUUGCACAUGCUUGUAAGAAAUCCGGUUUGUCGCUGUGGCUAGCCCGUAUGAUGGCGGUAAUGACUGGUAUCCCAGAAUGGGCCAUGAUUGCAGUCAUAUGUUUGGUUAUCUCCCUUUCAACGGAAAUUACGACAAAUACCGCUGUGUGUACGAUCUUCAUGCCCAUUCUGGCAGAUUUGGCCAAAGGGAUCCAUGUACAUCCCAUAUACAUUAUGUUUCCGGCAGCGAUUUCAUCUUCAUUUGCAUUCAUGCUACCCGUAGGAGCGCCACCAAACACUAUUGCCUUCUCAUAUGGGUAUCUCAGAAUCAUCGAUAUGGUGAAGGUCGGCUGGAUCCUCAACCUUUUGUGUGUGGUAGUUGUUACCAUCGCCAUCAACACAUGGGGAAUGGCCUACUUCCGGUUGGACGUUUAUCCAGAAUGGGCUGUCAUACAGGGUCAAAUGUCAUCAUCGGUGGCAAAUUCUACAUUUAUUCAUUUGAUUAACCAAACAUCCAUUAUGACGUCAUCAGGGAACUUUACCGAAAUUGUGACACCACUGUUAGUUAACUAAUAUGUGAAUUUGAAUGAAAAGAGUUUUUCACAAAUUCUAAAAAUAAAAAUUUAAUCUCAAACAAUUAUUGUUCUUAGAUGUUUUUUUAUGAAUAACAGGAAAAAAUAUCGAAGUUUGAACAAAACAGUAUGUUGUACUUUAAACUAGGAACAACAACUAAAGACAGAGGAAAAGUUUAUAGUGAGACCCUUGCAAAACAAUACAAAGGUGCUAAGACCAUUUGUUCCGGAAACAUUUGACAUCUUCUGGUUCGUCGACGACAUCCGGUCAAAUCCUAGCCAUGUCACGAACUCAAGUGAGACUGGUGUAGCGAAAACCAAAUAUCUAUGCAUGUUAUCUAAAACGUCGAUAAUCAUGCAAUAAUCACAUCGCGAACACAAAAAAGAGAUUUUCCAAUGGCAUCAUAGGGCAGUUAUAUAUACAGUAUCUUGCCCAUAUUCUUAAUUAACCUGUUUAUCUCGAAAACAGUGUUGGUCUGUCUGUCAGAGCAUUAAUUAGUUUAAUUUACAUUUAUCAUUGAGUUUAUAUUUAAGGUAUGACUACUGUUUGUGCAAAAAAACAUUACUUUGCAGCGUCGUCGUAACGAACUUGUAAACCACAAGAGACACUGUCAGAUUCAUCGGUCAACUCUUUCAUGGGCCAACUCCUGCAUGUUAGACGGCUGGUUCUGACGUUUGACUGUGUAUAAAUAAUGUUUGUAAAGUUACAUAAUUAUGUAACACAGGAUUUGACGUGAGGAUGCAAUUUCUUAAUUCAUAUAUAAUUGCGAGAAAAUUAUCCUUUUGAUUAUGACAAUUUUUCUGGCAUAUCAAUAAUUAAGUAUUUGGACAAAACACAUAAAAAAUAAGAAAUUGUUGUUCCCGGAUCUGGUUCAUUCCCUUGCAACUUAUUUGGAGAAUAUGUUGCCAUGAUUGCUUAGAUAUCCAAGUGAGCGAUACAGGCCCUUUGGACCUCUUGUUAAUAGUUAUACAGAAAAUAAGUUAAAGUAAUAUAAGUGUGUUACAUGCAGACACUUUUCCAUAGAUCUUUCUUUGAUGCAGGGCUUUCACAACGAAUCAUUAGUAUGUAUCAUCAUCAUAAUCAUUUACAUAUUUAUCAUAGUAGAAUACGUGUCGGGUCAUGCCAUCACAGAUUUCCAUCCCGUGGUCCUAUGUCCAUGUAUAUAGUAAAUAAUGUUACACGCACGCCACUAUCAUUUGUUCUCUUUCAUGUGUAUGGUCCAACUUUCUUCGAAAUGACAAUUCGGAAUAUCUUGCGGAAAAACAAAACCCUGCUGUUGACAUUCCUACCACCGAUUGUGCUUCUACCUUUACCCUUAUCUGGACAAUCACAGGAAUCAAAAUGUGCUUACGGUCUACUUCUUAUGGCGUUCUACUGGACCACAGAGACGUUUCCGGUCGCCAUUACCGCCACACUUCCGGUUAUAUUAUUUCCAAUGAUGGGUAUCAGUAAAGUUGGCGACCUGGCCUCCAAGUAUUUUCAUCAUAUUACAUUUGUCAUGAUUGGUGGUUUGGCUGUUGCUAUAGCCAUCGAAAAAUGGAACGUCCAUACACGUAUAGCAUUACGGCUAUUACUGACCAUGGGUACCACUCCGAAAUGGCUCAUGCUUGGCUUCAUGUUGACCACUUCGUUCCUGUCCAUGUGGAUCAGUAAUACGGCCACAACGUCCAUCAUGAUCCCAAUAGCCCAAGCCGUUCUGACCCAGCUGAUGGGCAUGCGAGUGUCACGUGAUCAACUCAAACCUGAUCAGGAUACACGAAACGAUGAGAAGAAUAUACAUACCAUUCAAGAAAUGUAUGUAAACGGAGACACGAAGGUGGCGUUGGAUUUGCCUGAUGUAGAACCAUCUGAGAGUGUCGGGAUAACUAUACAACAACCAGACCCUGACGGAAAGCAGAAGUUGACCAUUCAGCAAGCACACCAAAGUGUAGAACAACCCGAGCCUGUCGAGGG
Molecule: unclassified non-coding RNA, 4092 nt
Filed under: Mizuhopecten yessoensis (Yesso scallop)
Lineage: Eukaryota; Metazoa; Mollusca; Bivalvia; Pectinida; Pectinidae
Description: solute carrier family 13 member 5-like, transcript variant X8
Source: RNAcentral